Serinus canaria (Common canary) is the source of this 3760-nucleotide long non-coding RNA. RefSeq lists it as uncharacterized. NCBI's taxonomy places the organism in Eukaryota, Metazoa, Chordata, Aves, Passeriformes, Fringillidae. The record is from RefSeq and is a predicted model, not a curated record. The transcript has 6 exons.
AUGGGAAACCCUUCCCGGCCCUUCCCUGCCUGUCCUCCCCCACCUCCUCCUCCUCCUCUCCCGGAACACACAGGCACUAGUUAUUAGGGAUUAGGUGGAACAGAUGCAUGUAAGAUGCUUACUGCCUUUUCCAGACACAAGGCCACUUUCCAAUCAGCUCAGAGGAAACAGGGAGGCAGCUGAUGCCGGCCGGCUGGCUGCCAAGCGGGUCAGGCCUCUGCAGCUGAAACUGCCCGAGAUUCCUGAGCGGGAUGAUGAAUCAGCUGUGUCCUUUAGGACACAUCCUCUCUUGGACGUGCUGCUGGGAUGUCGUGUCUCUCCGCCGCUUCCCCGUGGUGAGAGUGUGCUCAGAGCCGCUGGCUGAUGACACUGGUUUCCUUUUUCAGUGCUGCCCCCUAAGGCAGAGGAUACAAGAGGGGAGCAUCAUUUUUAUGACAACAAGGAUGCAUCCUUUGCAACUGUGACUCCCUUUGUCUGGAAUAUGGGAUGCUGUGGCCGGCCUGCUGUGUUUUCUGUCUUUCUCUGGGACAGCUGAAUAAUGUCCGUAGCCAGACAUAUGCUCAUGGCCUGGAAUGAAGUCGACUGCAAUUACGUCCUGAGGGAGUCACUCAACGGGGGUUUUGUGGAGGCAGGACGCAGGCUCUGGUGGAGCUGCACAUGUGCUGUUAGACCUCCAACUGCACUCCCUCUGCCUUCAGCUUUGUGGGAAUUAGGAGCAGCAGGCUCAGAAAUACAGCCAGUCUGGUGCACAUCUGGAGACAGUAAUUGGAGGUGCCCCAUGGCAGGUGCUACAGAGGCGAAAACCAGCGCUCCUGCAGAGACAGAUUAGCAGCACACCAAAUGAUCUCUCUCGUCCUUGUGCACCCCAGAGCCCGGAAACUCCCCCAUCUCUCCAGCCUUGCAGCCCAGCUGUCCCAAACCCCAGGCAGCAGGGAUGGAUAACAGCAGGCUGCUCUCUGCGCUGCAGCCCAGGCGAUGGAGGAGAUAAUGGGAAUGAUUUCUGGGUACAAGUACAAGCAUGAAUGCUCUGAAGAAAUACUAAGUCUAGUUGUGGUGGAAAAAAAAGGAAAAAUAAAGCAAAUGCACACACUUGCACACACACAACCUCGACAUCAUGUAACGGAAGGUUUGGUUCUGCCUGACAUUUUUUUUCUCAGCUGCUGGUCCUUGAACUCCUCCCAGUGUGGCUCCACCACUGGAGCAACAGCUGGUGUGCUGAGGUGCAGUGCAGGGCUGCCAGCUCUCCUCACUGCAGAUCAAGCCUUGCACUCUGUUACUGGGGGGUUUCCUUGGAGCCCUCACGCCUCUCUGCCAGAGUGCUUGGAUUGUGUGAGAAUUGUACCUUUUGAUGGAAGAAAAAGGGGUGGGGGGGGAAGUUAAUUAAGAAAAUACGUUUCUAGCACUGAACUCAGGAUUGUGUAGGAAAAUUAGCAAAUAGGAAACGAGUAUGGCCUACAGUGAGUAAAAUAAUAAUCUUUUUGCCCUGAGCAGGGCUAUAUGAGCUGUUUGGAUGACACGUGGUGGAGCAGGGGUGUGGAAGAAAAUGGAGCCCUGCUCAGUGCUGCAGGCCUUUUGCCACUGCAACUGAAAGAGUAAAAACUUAUUUUGCCACUCUAGAUGCUAACUCAUGGCAGGCAAUUGCUUUAGCUAUGGCAAAUGAAGUGCAAGGAAGGGUCCAUCAGGUAUUAGCUCCUAAGCCUUAGGGUGUUUUACUAAGUGAGGUGCCAGACCAGUCUGUGGAAAUCUUGUUCUUGAAUUAUUAUUCCUUUUAAAGGUUAGACUGUGCCUGCAAAGAUGAAGUGUUUCCUGGCCUUGCUUUUCAGUAUUGCUAUUCUUUCCAUCCUCUAUUGCUUCCAUAGUGGGUACAGAGACAUGAGCUUUCAAUACCUGCAAAUUUCCAUCUGGUUUGUUAGCAGCACUCCUCAUUAAGGGGAUUAUGAAAAGUUGGAGAUGCUACAGGUAAGCAUCCAAACAGUAAUCCUGGCUUCCACAAUGAGGCAGUGUGUUUUGUGUGGUUAGAGCAGCAGGAACAGGACUCAUGAGUGACAGAGCAAAAAAUCAGUGAUUGCUUCUUUGGCAGGAGAUACUUAAACUUUGUCAAGCUAGGCAAGUAUCUCCAUUGUGGUCUCUGACUCACAAUUCAAGUAUGCUGGGAACAUUUGAGGGGGCUGGGUCAGUUCUUUAAGCAGUGGGAAAACAAGGCUUUAAUGCAUCACGGCAUAACUUUGGGUCUGUGCUCUACUGUUCUGCCUUUCUUUGAGGAAACUGGUGUGGCUGGCGGUGGGGAGAGGGAGGUGUUGUGAAACCACACAUACACAAACACACUCACAUGUGAUUUUAAUCCCUCCUAACAGUGUUUCAGACUCAUUUGACUGUGCCGGCUGAGCUGAGCCACUUCUGACUUGCCCUCCUGAAGGUGAACAGAGGACAAGGCUGUGUGGUGGGCUGGGUGACAACUCGGUUUCACCCUCGCUGCAGCAGCCUGGCUGAGGUAAAGGUCUUUGCUCGUGGUUGUUACUGGUUCCAUAUUUACUUGGGAUCUUUGCAUGCAGAGGACGGCUUUUGGCUUGUGAAGAGGAACUUCUUGGAGGCUGGACUGUUUCCCCUCACACUUCUGAGUCUCUCCUAGAUUGUGUGUAAUGCUCAGAAAGGCUUCUAGGGGCAAGGUGCUUUUCUAUCUCAGAGAAAAAAUUCUGCAAGCUCAUUAAUAAAGGCCAGAUAAAAUAAAGCUUGGAAAGUCAACAUGUUCAAGAAGUUAUGCCGUUCUGGGAAACAAGCGGAGAGGAGGUGUGCAUUUAUGUGGACAAAAGCAGCCCAAACUGUAAACCAUAAUAUAUCUGUUAGCUCAUUAAUGUGUCUGAUGCUGACUAAUUCCAGGGGUGUUCCUGCUGCCCAGCAGCAAAAGUGCAAAUAAGUGGACAGCUGUGAUUUAGUGCCAAAUAUUUGAACACAUCGUGACAAUUCAGGCCACCCACUCUCUUAAGUAAAUACAACUCCUGGACAAUCAUUUCAAACUGGGCUGAAGUGCAGAGCAGCCACUUUCAUGUGCAUCUCAGCCAAAUGGCCCUUAGGUAUUUGGGGCCAAACUUUGCCUUCUGUUACACCCCGGGAGCCCUCAUUCACUCCAGGGUUUGCACUAUGUAGCUGAGGGGCAGAGCUUACUCUUGAUGCUAAUCUGACUUUUUCUAGCUCAGUAAGUACAAUUUCACAUGUAAAUGUAAAUGUGGAACAGAUCUGGACUCGAUUAGCUCCUGAAUCCUUGACAAAAAGCCAUAAUUGUUUAUCCAGAUGAUAUUUCUUUCUCUCUCUUUUGUUUUUUCUACACUUUAAACCCAGGGUUUUAAUAGGCUUGUGAAAUAAAUACAUGAGUGUAGAUUACAGUGGUAUCAAAAGUGUGAGGGAAGCCCUUCCCUUCUCCUCAGCAGGGCUAAAUGAUCACUUGGUGCUCACUUCAGUUGUGCUCUCCAGAGCCUUGGGCAGGGGUGGCUGCGGAUCUGACUGACGGUGGGAGGGAGGGUAUUUCCAAGACAACACUUAGCCUGGGGCUCUCAUUACAGAUGUGAAGGACCUGUGAUAUAUAUCUUUUUUUUUUUCCUGGUAGGCAGUGAAAUCUAUGCUAGUGGCUAUAUCUGGGGCACAGGGCUGCUGGGAGAGGAGAAAAGCAAGGGAAUAUGGAAAAAAUUGUAUUUAUCAGGGUAAUCUAGUUUAGGAGCACAAGUACUAAAACAUGUUAAUCACAGUCAUACGGCUGUGUGUCACU